GGGCGCAUGGGUUAGUUUGGCCUAUACUCGGGGCUUUGGGAGCCUUGGACCCAGGUUCAAAUCCUGGUGCGCCCA
RNAcentral lists this transfer RNA (75 nucleotides) under Methanobacteriota archaeon. RNAcentral describes it as "Euryarchaeota archaeon tRNA-Pro". It matches the Rfam family "tRNA". Rfam says of the family: Transfer RNA (tRNA) molecules are approximately 80 nucleotides in length. Their secondary structure includes four short double-helical elements and three loops (D, anti-codon, and T loops). The record is from RNAcentral. Lineage: Archaea; Methanobacteriati; Methanobacteriota. RNAcentral also lists the same sequence under 2 other names.